GCCUGGGUAAAUCGUGUAGCUUAACUAUACGAAUUCCGGGUAGACUGCCAAACUUGAGACCGGGAGAAGCUAGAGUACUCCUUGGGUAGAGGUGAAAUUCUGUAAUCCUGGGGGGACCACCAGUGGCGAAGGCGUCUAGCUAGAACGGGUUUGACGGUGAGGAACGAAGCCCUGGGGCGCAAACCGGAUUAGAUACCCGGGUAGUCCAGGGUGUAAACGCUGCUUGCUUGAUGUUAGUUGGGCUCCGAGCCCAAUUAGUGUCGGAGAGAAGUUGUUAAGCAAGCUGCCUGGGAAGUACGAUCGCAAGAUUGAAACUUAAAGGAAUUGGCGGGGGAGCACAGCAACGGGUGGAGCGUGCGGUUUAAUUGGAUUCAACGCCGGAAAACUCACCGGAGGCGACGGUUAUAUGAAGGCCAGGUUGAUGACCUUGCCUGAUUUUCCGAGAAGUGGUGCAUGGCCGUCGUCAGUUCGUACCGUGAGGCGUUCUGUUAAGUCAGACAACGAACGAGACCCUCAUCUUUAGUUGCUACUUGUAAGUCCGCUUACUAGGCACACUAGAGAAACCGCUGGCGAUAAGUCAGAGGAAGGUGAGGGCAACGGUAGGUCAGUAUGCCCUGAAUCCUCCGGGCUACACGCGCGCUACAAAGGCUAGGACAAUGGGUUCCGACACCGAAAGGUGACGGUAAUCCCGAAACCUAGUCGUAGUUCGGAUUGAGGAUUGAAACUCAUCCUCAUGAAGCUGGAAUCCGUAGUAAUCGCAGAUCAACAUCCUGCGGUGAAUAUGCCCCUGCUCCUUG
Molecule: ribosomal RNA, 797 nt
Filed under: uncultured archaeon
Lineage: Archaea
Description: bacterial SSU rRNA
Rfam family: Archaeal small subunit ribosomal RNA
Source: RNAcentral